This 362-nucleotide RNase P RNA is filed under the name Microthrixaceae bacterium. RNAcentral's name for it is "RNase P RNA component class A". It matches the Rfam family "Bacterial RNase P class A". Rfam says of the family: Ribonuclease P (RNase P) is a ubiquitous endoribonuclease, found in archaea, bacteria and eukarya as well as chloroplasts and mitochondria. Its best characterised activity is the generation of mature 5'-ends of tRNAs by cleaving the 5'-leader elements of precursor-tRNAs. The record is from RNAcentral. Lineage: Bacteria; Bacillati; Actinomycetota; Acidimicrobiia; Acidimicrobiales; Microthrixaceae. RNAcentral also lists the same sequence under 1 other name.
UGAGCCGUCCGGGUGGCCGCGGCCGGGAGACCGGCUGAGGAAGGUCGGGGCUCCACAGGGCAGAACGCUGGCGAGAGCCAGGCGGGGGCGACCUCGCGGACGUGCCACAGAGAGCAGACCGCCGAUGGCCCCGGCAACGGGGCACAGGUGAGGGUGAAACGGUGCGGUAAGAGCGCACCAGCGUCGCGGGCGACCGCGGCGGCUCGGUAAACCCCGUUCGGAGCAAGGUCAAGCAGCGGGAUGGGCGGCCCGCCCGAUGCCUCGGCAUCACCCGCAGGUGGACUGCACAGAUGGAUGGCCACCGAACCGGACCACCGCGAGGUGCCGGGGAACAGAACCCCGCCUACAGGGCGACUCACCAG